AGUGAACGCUGGCGGUAGGCCUAACACAUGCAAGUCGAACGGCAGCACAGUAAUAGCUUGCUAUUACUGGUGGCGGGGGGCGGACGGGUGAGGAAUACAUCGGAAUCUACUUUUUCGUGGGGGAUAACGUAGGGAAACUUACGCUAAUACCGCAUACGACCUUCGGGUGGAAGCAGGGAAUCUUCGGACCUUGCGCUAUUGAAUGAGCCGAUGUGGGAGUAGCUGGUUUGCGGGGUAAAGGCCCACCAAGGCGGCGGUCCGUAUCUGGUGUGAGAGGAUGUACCGCCACACUGGAACUGAGCCACGGCCCAGAGUCCUACGGAAGGCAGAAGUGGCGAAUAUUGGCAAAUGGGGGGAAGCCUGCGCAAGCCAUAAAGCGUGGGUGAAGAAGGCCUUCGGGUUGUAAAGCCCUUUUGUUGGGAAAGAACAGCAGCAGGUUAAUACCCGGCUGUUCUGACGGUACCCAAAGAAUAGGCACCGGCAAAUUUCGU
This 491-nucleotide ribosomal RNA is filed under the name uncultured bacterium. RNAcentral's name for it is "partial 16S ribosomal RNA". It matches the Rfam family "Bacterial small subunit ribosomal RNA", at positions 29 to 506 of the family's 1533-position model. The record is from RNAcentral.